RNAcentral lists this ribosomal RNA (496 nucleotides) under uncultured bacterium. RNAcentral describes it as "partial 16S ribosomal RNA". It matches the Rfam family "Bacterial small subunit ribosomal RNA", at positions 28 to 507 of the family's 1533-position model. The record is from RNAcentral.
GAUGAACGCUGGCGGCGUGCCUAAUACAUGCAAGUCGAGCGAACAGACGAGGAGCUUGCUCCUUUGACGUUAGCGGCGGACGGGUGAGUAACACGUGGGUAACCUACCUAUAAGACUGGGAUAACUUCGGGAAACCGGAGCUAAUACCGGAAAUAUUUCGAACCGCAUGGUUCGAUAGUGAAAGAUGGCUUUGCUAUCACUUAUAGAUGGACCUGCGCCGUAUUAGCUAGUUGGUAAGGUAACGGCUUACCAAGGCAACGAUACGUAGCCGACCUGAGAGGGUGAUCGGCCACACUGGAACUGAGACACGGUCCAGACUCCUACGGGAGGCAGCAGUAGGGAAUCUUCCGCAAUGGGCGAAAGCCUGACGGAGCAACGCCGCGUGAGUGAUGAAGGUCUUCGGAUCGUAAAACUCUGUUAUUAGGGAAGAAGAAACGUGUAAGUAACUGUGCACGUCUUGACGGUACCUAAUCAGAAAGCCACGGCUAACUACGUG